This 253-nucleotide ribosomal RNA is filed under the name uncultured bacterium. RNAcentral's name for it is "partial 16S ribosomal RNA". It matches the Rfam family "Bacterial small subunit ribosomal RNA", at positions 524 to 776 of the family's 1533-position model. The record is from RNAcentral.
UACGUAGGUGGCAAGCGUUGUCCGGAUUUACUGGGCGUAAAGAGCGCGCAGGCGGUCGUUCAAGUCGCGUGUGAAAGCCCCCGGCUCAACUGGGGAGGGUCACGCGAUACUGAUCGACUCGAAGGCAGGAGAGGGUAGUGGAAUUCCCGGUGUAGUGGUGAAAUGCGUAGAUAUCAGGAGGAACACCGAUGGCGAAGGCAGGUCUCUGGGCCACUACUGACGCUGAGGAGCGAAAGCGUGGGUAGCAAACAGG